GCAACCUGAAGCUGGCGGCCGAGUACCCCAGCGUGUUCCGCUCGCUGCUGGGGAUUUCGUGGAUGUGGUUCUUUGGCGCGGUCUUCCUGUCGCAGUUCCCUGCGUUCGCCAAGGAGGUGCUG
Molecule: non-coding RNA, 122 nt
Filed under: Aquabacterium sp. NJ1
Lineage: Bacteria; Pseudomonadati; Pseudomonadota; Betaproteobacteria; Burkholderiales; Sphaerotilaceae
Description: Burkholderia RNA 11
Rfam family: Burkholderia RNA 11
About the family: Co-purified with Hfq, expression confirmed by Northern blot. Predicted target marZ.
Source: Rfam by way of RNAcentral